This 497-nucleotide ribosomal RNA is filed under the name uncultured bacterium. RNAcentral's name for it is "partial 16S ribosomal RNA". It matches the Rfam family "Bacterial small subunit ribosomal RNA", at positions 28 to 507 of the family's 1533-position model. The record is from RNAcentral.
GAUGAACGCUGGCGGCGUGCCUAAUACAUGCAAGUCGAGCGAACAGACGAGGAGCUUGCUCCUCUGACGUUAGCGGCGGACGGGUGAGUAACACGUGGAUAACCUACCUAUAAGACUGGGAUAACUUCGGGAAACCGGAGCUAAUACCGGAUAAUAUAUUGAACCGCGUGGUUCAAUAGUGAAAGACGGUUUUGCUGUCACUUAUAGAUGGAUCCGCGCCGCAUUAGCUAGUUGGUAAGGUAACGGCUUACCAAGGCAACGAUGCGUAGCCGACCUGAGAGGGUGAUCGGCCACACUGGAACUGAGACACGGUCCAGACUCCUACGGGAGGCAGCAGUAGGGAAUCUUCCGCAAUGGGCGAAAGCCUGACGGAGCAACGCCGCGUGAGUGAUGAAGGUCUUCGGAUCGUAAAACUCUGUUAUUAGGGAAGAACAAAUGUGUAAGUAACUAUGCACGUCUUGACGGUACCUAAUCAGAAAGCCCCGGCUAACUACGUG